UUCAACGGAGAGUUUGAUUCUGGCUCAGGACGAACGCUGGCGGCGUGCUUAACACAUGCAAGUCGAACGAUGAAGCCUAGCUUGCUAGGUGGAUUAGUGGCGAACGGGUGAGUAAUACGUGAGUAACCUACCUUUAACUCUGGGAUAAGCCUGGGAAACUGGGUCUAAUACCGGAUACGACCAAUCUCCGCAUGGGGUGUUGGUGGAAAGCGUUAUGUAGUGGUUAUAGAUGGGCUCACGGCCUAUCAGCUUGUUGGUGAGGUAACGGCUCACCAAGGCGACGACGGGUAGCCGGCCUGAGAG
This 303-nucleotide ribosomal RNA is filed under the name Megasphaera micronuciformis. RNAcentral's name for it is "partial 16S ribosomal RNA". It matches the Rfam family "Bacterial small subunit ribosomal RNA", at positions 1 to 298 of the family's 1533-position model. Lineage: Bacteria; Bacillati; Bacillota; Negativicutes; Veillonellales; Veillonellaceae. The record is from RNAcentral.